AACGAACGCUGGCGGCAUGCCUAACACAUGCAAGUCGAACGAGACCUUCGGGUCUAGUGGCGCACGGGUGCGUAACGCGUGGGAACCUGCCCUUAGGUUCGGAAUAACUCCCCGAAAGGGGUGCUAAUACCGGAUAAUGUCUUCGGACCAAAGAUUUAUCGCCUUUGGAUGGGCCCGCGUUGGAUUAGCUAGUUGGUAGGGUAAAAGCCUACCAAGGCGACGAUCCAUAGCUGGUCUGAGAGGAUGAUCAGCCACACUGGGACUGAGACACGGCCCAGACUCCGACGGGAGGCAGCAGUGGGGAAUAUUGGACAAGGGGCGAAAGCCUGAUCCAGCAAUGCCGCGUGAGUGAGGAAGGCCGUAGGGUUGUAAAGCUCUUUUACCCGGGAUGAUAAUGACAGUACCGGGAGAAUAAGCUCCGGCUAACUCCGUG
RNAcentral lists this ribosomal RNA (433 nucleotides) under uncultured bacterium. Its description in RNAcentral is "partial 16S ribosomal RNA". It matches the Rfam family "Bacterial small subunit ribosomal RNA", at positions 29 to 507 of the family's 1533-position model. The record is from RNAcentral.